GUUUGAAUGCUUAGAAGCUAUUUACUCAAAUUUGAAUGUAUUUUUAGAAAAAUAAAAGUAUGUUAUAUUGAAGAGUAAUGUAGUACAGAAUAAAUAAACAUGAAAACAGAAACUUCUUCAUCAUAUUUUUUUUUUGGUGAGAGUUUUACUACCGAUGUCUCAGCGAUUUUGAGGGUGAAAGUUGUGACAUGAAAACAUGUCACUUUCAUGAACUUAUUUCUGGAAAAAAGUUCAUCAUAAUGCAAUGUUUCCUACUUAAAACAUGUCACCUUUAGUACCCCUACUAUGUCUGAGAAGCUCAAGUGAAAUGUGCAAAAAAUCGGCAAGUUAUUUCAUAUUGAAAAAACACAAUACCUACGUUACCAACGAUGUCCUAGGCACUUUUUUCGUAACGGCGGUAAUUCUAGCAUUUUACACAAAUUUAGCAGGAUAUUUUCUCAGAAAGUUUCAUCUUAUUAGGAAGGUACAACCCCUCAUGAACAUAUGUAGAAAGAAUGAUGAUUAAAUCGGUCGGUAAAUAUAAGAAAACAAUUAAUUUACCGCGAAAAUCGGGCGCGAUGUCCUUCGUAAUUUGGUAACGUAGGUGUGAAAUUACGGUGUUUGAGAUAUAAACCAGCCCGCUAGCUUCAGUUUUCGGUGUUAAAAUGACCUGCUAGUUAUUCACGAAUGCGCAGAACAUGUUUUUUGCCGGACUGCGACGACCUACCCCUACAGUGCAACCACAAACGUGAAGAUGUCUUUGUAACGUGGUGCAGCCAUUUUCGCCCGUCAGCGCCCAAAUUGAUUGCUGCAUCCAUUUCAUUCAUGGCUCCUAUACCUCCCUUGAGGAUUCAGCUCAGGCAGAGAGAGAUCAAGAGAGCAGGCAAAAUGACCAGUCAUCGAAACCUUCCUGGAAAACAAAGAUCUUUCCAAUCUAAUCACUAUUUUGAAGAAGAUAUAAAGUUGAUCAUUGAUAUCUAUCAAUAUACCUCUUGUAUGAAUACUGUUUUUUAAUUUACUGAUCAAGGGAUAAAAUA
Long non-coding RNA from Strongylocentrotus purpuratus (purple sea urchin), 1016 nucleotides. RefSeq lists it as uncharacterized. NCBI's taxonomy places the organism in Eukaryota, Metazoa, Echinodermata, Echinoidea, Camarodonta, Strongylocentrotidae. The record is from RefSeq and is a predicted model, not a curated record. The transcript has 2 exons.